Long non-coding RNA from Siniperca chuatsi (mandarin fish), 3305 nucleotides. RefSeq lists it as uncharacterized. Lineage: Eukaryota; Metazoa; Chordata; Actinopteri; Centrarchiformes; Sinipercidae. The transcript is spliced from 3 exons. The record is from RefSeq and is a predicted model, not a curated record.
CUUACAUACAGGGUGUACGUAGCACAAGCUAUCAAUCCUAAUAACACAGCCCAAGUUUUCAUAUUUGACACAGCUGAGCCCAUUUUAUUGACCUGGUGACAUCACGGGUCACAGGUCAGGCUGGCCAGUAGUGGCUGGGAUGCUGCGUUCAAUGUCUUCCAGGAUUGUGGGACAAAAGAGAAUGUAGUCUCCUAAUAAAGUUCAGUUAAAAAUCACACAAAUUAAUGAAUUAAUCUGUGGAGUCCCAACACUGGUGAGUGUCACAGCCUGUCACGGCCUCACCAGCCUGUAAUCACCCACACCUGCUCCCAGUUACACUCCUGCUCUCCAUUAGCCCCAAUCACAGCCAGUAUAAGCAAGCGAUCUUCAUUCUCCAGCGGUUCCCUUCCUCAACGCUUCUCUCUUUCCAUACCCACUCUCUCCGGCUGUAUCCCAAUAAAGUGCACUCUUGUUCAUCUCUGUGUCCCCUGCCUGUCUGUACCGUAACAGUGAGGUAAGUCACGUGUUGGUUAGGUUUAGACAACAAAACUACUUGGUUAGGUAGUAAGAAGUCAUGUGAUGUAAGUAACGUAAAACUUUAAAUAACUCAACGUUAACUUGUGGUUUCACAUGGGACACAAACCCAGGUCUCCUGGGUGAAAGUCCUGUGUUUGUUUGACCCAUCCAGACUUUCUCACUGUUUAUGUUGCUCGUUAUACUAUUUCACCUGACUUCCUUAAGGCUUCCUGGCAGCCCUGUGCGUCUCAUACAAACAUUUGUGCUGAAAGCUAGCAGAGAGCUUAAUCGAUCAGCUCUAUAUAUACAGUACUCCCAAAUCGUGAUAAUAUUCAUAAGUAUGUUUUCAUUUGUGUAUAAUUACCUGAAAAUAAGAAUUGUUGUGUUUUCAUUACUUUAGAAUGUGCCCUUUAUAUCUACAGUAGUCCAGAACGAACAAACUGGCUCUAAAUAGGGCCUUUCAUGUUUUUAGCAAGUUUCGUGGCCAGGGUAGUUUCUCCUGAGGGUGAGGUGAGUGGUAGUCACUUGGUUGCAAUCUGCAAUUUCAUCGCUAGAUGCCACUAAAUCCUACACACUGCUCCUUUUGAAGCUGUUUCUAGGUUUAUUUUAUACCUCAUACAUAAUAGCAUAUUGCAUCAUUUGCCAACAAAUGGUGUAUUGAACAGGUAUUUUGGUAUAGGUGGUCCAUACCUCGCAUAACACCCUGGAGAGGCCUCAAACAAUGGAGAGGGAUGUAAGUAUAGUUAUCAGCACUCUAUCAUUAUUUAAUGAAUGCUAGAUGCUGUAAUAUCACCCGCCUCACUGAUCUUUAUGACAUCAUGUACAGUUUUAUUAGUAGAAGCAGGCCUUUGUGAUACUUUUGAGACAUUGGCUUUUAAAAAAAUGACAGAAAGCCAAUAAGGAACUCGUUGACAAAAUUUACAUACCUUUUUGAGUUUACACUGCAAAUCUGGAUCUGCUAUUUCUUCGAGAGUGGGUGGUGAUGUAGGUGUAGAGCACAGGUUUUGGUAGAGCCUCUCAGAAAAAAAAGAUCAAAGUUUCCUAAAGACGAUUAAUUGUUGGCAUUGCAAUAUAACAUUUAUUAAGGAUUUUUUUCAGGUCAUACAUUAAUCUCAUGACACGGAGAUAGUGGAAGUAGCAGAUGAUGUUGCUGAUGAUUUACAUGAGUGGCAUGCACUUUGUGCAAGACAAGAUGAUGAUACAUUGAAAGUCUGCAAACUGACUAGGAAAAAGUAAGCACACGCAGCAUGUUUAUAUGUUUAUUUAUUUUUCUGUCUGUUUAUAUGUGAAUUCAGGUAUUUACAUGAGAAUUUAGGCAUUUCUUUUUCGUUUUUCUUACUUCCCCCACAGGACCAGGCACGGUGCAGAGAAGUAGACGUUCACAACAGACGCAAAGGGGCAUGGUGUGACUCAUUUGCUGUUUUUAAUUGAACCAAGCAUAGUCUGAUUUAUUUUAUUUCUUGUGCUCUUUUGACAGGCUUUGGAAAUAAGACGGCUUAAUUUGAGCAGCCAGGGUGAGCCACAGAAUGGCGUCCCACUGAAAGUGUAAUAUCCAAAUGGCCAUGUUGUAAGGAGAUUUCACCUCAUGCAGCCAAUUCAGAUGGUGUGUUUGAGAUCACACUGGAACACUUUUUGGUGUUUGCUUCUGGAGCUGACCGAGUACCAGCACUUGGUUUUUACCCUCAUCCAACACUGAAUUUCAUUCAUGAGAUAGGGCGGAAGUACCCUGAAGCCAAGUAAAUUAGAAACUUCCUAUCCAUGACACUUAUGUACAAUUCACCAAGUUUAUGUGUGAGGGCAUUAUUCAAGCUACCAUUUUUGGUCUGGCUUAAAGUCACUGACAGCUAAUUUCAUAAUGGCUGUUUGAACUUUGAAAGGACAAAACUACAACUGUUUUGGUACACAACACCCAAAUGUAAUUAAAUAAAUUGUUGUACGAGUGGUGCAGCUUCUUUAACGAAUAGGGCAUUGCAUGAUGUGUGAGUAUAGUGGGUGUGUGGAUGAGUGAGAGUGAGGGAGUGAAAAAAGAAAGCAGGAUGGUGGGUGCUAGAGCUAAUUACUGGUCAGAAAAGACUAUGACUGUCCAGUUAAAGUUCUGCCUGGUGGGUGCUGCAGGGGCGAUCAUUCACCGAAACCCUCAGUCUUCACAGUGGGAUUACAGCCGCGUGAUGGAGGAGAUGGAAACUGCACACAGCCCUUCUUCAGAGCAUGCAACUGUGGUGCCUAUUGAACUGAGACAGCACGUCCGCAAACUGGGUGAGGCUCUUCAUGUUUUAAGAGACGACAUAUAUGGGAAACUGUCAGUAGCUUACAGUGACUGGACUGAGACUGAGCAGGAUGCCAUAGGCGUUGAAGUUUUCACUAAUGUUGUUGGGAUGCAGAAAUUAUACAGAAAAUGUUAGAACAGCCACACUGCACACUAGCCCAAGCUUAUGACAUCACCCGCCGCCAAGAAAUCACCAAGCGGACGGUGUCAUAUGUCACCAGCCUCAUGCACUCAGGGGCAUGCAGCAUAACUGAACGUAGGCCCCGUGCUGCUGUGAACAGGGAGGGAACCGAGGAGAAGGAAGCUGAGACUGUUGCAGCAUCCCCAGUAGCCAGUUGGAAGCCCAAGCCUCCUGACCCCAACCACACACCACAUAAAGGGAGAGGCCAUAAGGACAUUACUCUAGCCUAUUAAUCAACCCAAUCAAACCUAAUCUAAAUUAUAGCUCACUUAAAAGCCUUGUUCUUAGUCUUUCACACCCAACCUGGAAAACACGACAGCCAAUUCUAUUUGUUAUAGUACGACGGUGUAGUCCCUCAUUCGU